CAGCGAGAAUGCAGAAAGCCAGGACUUAAACGUGUAGGGACCCUCCUCUCUCCCCGCCAGAUAUCAGCAAUGCGGUUCCGGGAAUCUGCCCAUUCUGAGGAACAAACGAGGUCCUCCCUUCGGGACGCGCCGGGUCAGCUGCCGGAGGCUCGGCUCGGCCGAUAGCUCGCGGGGCAGCGCUGCGUCGUCCGGACAGCCCGCGGAGGCUCCUGCCGCGGGGAGAGGCCUCCGGGUCCUCGGAGCCCCGCAGCAGUGGAGUGGAGCCCCGCCACCAAGGUGAAGAAACUGAGGCCCAGAGGUGCUAGCAGCAGUGGUGCUUUCUUAUCUUAUCAUCUUGAGUAGUUAUUCUGAAGCUGACCCUUUAUAUAUCACAGCGGCUGACAAUUGUUGGUCUUGUCUGCAUGGGCAAAUCUGGGCCACCUCUACAUUCCCAUUCUGUUCAUAGGAAGAAUAUAGAAUGAAAGUGGAAAGCAAGCAAUUUCC
Molecule: long non-coding RNA, 483 nt
Organism: Mustela erminea (ermine)
Lineage: Eukaryota; Metazoa; Chordata; Mammalia; Carnivora; Mustelidae
Exons: 4
Source: RefSeq, a predicted model, not a curated record